RNAcentral lists this ribosomal RNA (274 nucleotides) under uncultured bacterium. RNAcentral's name for it is "partial 16S ribosomal RNA". It matches the Rfam family "Bacterial small subunit ribosomal RNA", at positions 523 to 796 of the family's 1533-position model. The record is from RNAcentral.
AUACGGAGGGUCCAAGCGUUAUCCGGAAUCAUUGGGUUUAAAGGGUGCGCAGGCGGUUUAUUAAGUCAGUGGAGAAAUCUCGGGGCUCAACCUCGAAACUGCCAUUGAUACUGAUAAACUUGAGUUCAGUUGGAGUAGGCGGAAUGUGUAGUGUAGCGGUGAAAUGCUUAGAUAUUACACAGAACACCGAUAGCGAAGGCGGCUUACUAAACUGAUACUGACGCUGAGGCACGAAAGCGUGGGGAGCGAACAGGAUUAGAAACCCUAGUAGUCC